This 76-nucleotide transfer RNA is filed under the name Acidobacteriota bacterium. Its description in RNAcentral is "tRNA-Ala". It matches the Rfam family "tRNA". Rfam says of the family: Transfer RNA (tRNA) molecules are approximately 80 nucleotides in length. Lineage: Bacteria; Pseudomonadati; Acidobacteriota. The record is from RNAcentral.
GGGGCUUUAGCUCAGCUGGGAGAGCGCUUCCAUGGCAUGGAAGAGGUCGUCGGUUCGAUCCCGAUAAGCUCCACCA